Molecule: long non-coding RNA, 1071 nt
Filed under: Equus caballus (horse)
Lineage: Eukaryota; Metazoa; Chordata; Mammalia; Perissodactyla; Equidae
Description: lncRNA (ENSECAG00000044411.1)
Source: RNAcentral
AAAUCAUAGAGACAGAACGCAGGUUGGUGGUUUCAAGGGACUGUAGGAGAGAAUGAGAAGAAGCUGCUUAGUGGACCUGUUCCCAGCCAGAGUCCAGUGAGGAAGCAAUGUGGACAGGUGGAGGCCGGAUUAGGAAGAAGCAGAGCCAUGGCCAGGUGAGAAGACUGAGCAGGGUGGAGAUGAAAAGCAAUAGCUUACAGCUGGAGAAGUAGUUUGGGACUCAUCUCCGCUUAGACUGACCCCAGCUCCACUGAGCUGUCAAAACACAGGGUUUUUAUCCUGCAGACUUGCCACACAAACAGCAUGCCCUCUGCCCUGCUUCAAUCUGGGGUAAAAGGUGAGGGAAGGAGGUACAGGGAGGAGACUGGGCAGCUGACACACUGAAAGAAGAGCCGGGCAAGGAGCUGGGGGAGAGGCAGAGCAGGGGUGGUGAGGGCGGUUUCUAAGCUGCUUGCAUCUUUCCUUCUGUUUUUAGGGUUGUUUUCAAACUCUUCACGUUGUCUGACUUCAUACCCAGCACAUCCUCUAAGACCUGCAAUGACUGCUUCUCAAUUCUUACUGUUUUUUGUCACUUUUCUUUCAAUCCGAUUCAAAAAAUGUUUACCCAGCUCCAUGCCAAAUCCAGGAACUAUGCUAAGAAUUGGAAUUUAAAAGAAAAUAAGGCAUGAACCCUAUUCUCAGGGAAGUCACAGUCUAAUGAGGAAGAACAUCACACAGUACAUCACAUUAAUACAGGACUAUGAGCACAACAGAAGAAUUAAGCACCUGCCAGGGCAGAGGGGAUGUGGAGGAAGGGAGCCUGGGGAAUGACGGCUGGCUUGUUAGGGGAAGAGAUUCCUGAACUGGAUAAUUAAAGAUAAACGGGAGGUAUAUUUAGUAUCAAUAACAUGACUGAUAGUGAUAAUUGCUUUCAAUACACAAUGUGUUUAUGCUAGAUAACACUGAAUCAGCGUAAAUAAAACAAGUGCUGUAUUAUGAGGGGAAAUUAAUGGAACCAUAACCAAGUUAGGACACUAAGCCAAUUCUGCAAAUCUUUAACAGAUCAAAUAGCCAAGAAUAAAUGGGUUAUAG